This is a non-coding RNA of Zonotrichia albicollis (white-throated sparrow), 7303 nucleotides long. Lineage: Eukaryota; Metazoa; Chordata; Aves; Passeriformes; Passerellidae. The record is from RefSeq and is a predicted model, not a curated record.
AUGAUUUUCAUUCUCUGUUGUGCCACCUGAGCAAGCACUGUAUUCCAUUUCUCCAAACUGUUUAGACACCUGAAAUUUGUUUAAUUACAGUGGGCACAUGGCAGAUGUCAAUUGCUGCAUAUCUGGGCAUUUGAUUCUCUGUCUCAAUACUUUGAAAUAAUUUGGAUGUCCCUCUCUUAACUCACUGUGGUUUAUGAAAGUGAAUCCCAGGAAAGCCAAAUUAAUACCAUGGAUAGAGUGAUCUACCUCAGUGUACAGGAAAGUGUGCAGCAAAUCCUGGACAGCUGAAAGGAAACUUCAUGAAUUUCAGUCAUUUUCUUCCUUUCCACCACUGCAGAUGAGCUCUGGUGGUGGGGGAACUGUGGAGUUCCUUUCUCCUCCUGUCCCUGUGCCAGAGCUUACUGGCCUCAUAGCACAGCUGGCAGCAGGGAACACGAAUUCAUGCCUGAGCUCUUUCUGCACAUAGUUUGGCAUAUUAGCUCACAUGCUGAUGAAACUGGAUUUGAGCUAAGAUGCAUAAAAGGGAAUUUUCUUGGCUAAAUGUGAGGUACUGCACAGAAAAAUGAAGGAAAAGGAAACCUUGGGAGAUAUAUUUUCCCUUAAUAUAUUAGAUAGUUCUCUCUCUGUGUCAUAUUUCUAUUGUUCUUAAAGGAGCUAUUUGAUUAUUAUACAUUUAAGGUAUUUUUUACAAUGGUAUUUUGUGCAUUUUAAUGAUUUUCAUACAUCCUUCUUUUUAUUAAAGCAAAAAUCUAAUAAAAAGCUUUCCUUGGCACAGUUUAAAUUAACUUUGGUUUUAAAGUUAGUCCCACAUAAGAUGUGUUUAUUAGGCUCCUGCAGUCUGGCAAAACCUGUUUACACAAAAUAAAGAUCCUCCCCACUGCUCUGUUUGAGGUUGGAAUUGAUAACACAUUUCACAAGUUCAGAGAAUUUGGAGGUACUGGAAUCUGGAGAUAGGAAAUGUCAUGAUAUUCUGUAAGAAUAUUCUGUAAUACAGUAAAAGAUCCAAACACACCCUCACCAUCUCAUCAAGGUUUGAGGCAAGAGUGAUGCUUACAGUUUUGGGAAAAGUCAUCAGCUUUUCUUCAACAAAAUUUUUUAAACUUCUUAGUGAAUUUUUUUAAUCUACUGAAGUAGAAAUGUGAAGUUAAGUAUAGGAGAGCAAAUUUCCUGGAGUAAAUUCCUCUACAUUUUUGUGGGGUUUUUCUGUAAAGUUUUUUAAGGAAAGCAUUAAUGGAUGAAAAAUGAACUAGAAUUUUUUAAUAGCUUGCCCUCCAGUAAAUUCAUAAUAUCAUAUUUUUUAGCAAGAGAAAGGCAGAUCGGUGCUUUAAGAUGUCAUACAAAACUAUUUUAACAUUGUAAAACUAAUAUGAGUGAUAUUAUGUUAUUUAAUAUGCCUCUCUGAGCUGACCAUUUUUACCUUAUCUAAAGAACAUGAAAAUUACAACAGAUUAAUGUUCAAUUAAUGCAUAAAAAUAACUUUCAAUGACCAGAACACAUCUUGAGAUUUUUUUCUGCUGACAUGGAUAAACUCCUAUUUGAACAUGCCUUAAUAUUUGUAUGGAUUCACAGCAGUCAACAACAAAUAUCCCUAGAAAUGUAAAAUUAUUCAGAAAAUGAGGAAAAAUAUUUAUUUUUCUAUUAAAAAUAAAAGGAUGUUUAAACCAUUGACCAUUUUGCCCAAUUUCUACCACCUGGGAUAGAUUAAAUCCAUUUCAGUUUUAUUAUUGUCACACAAAGUUAAAGAUUACCAUCUGUAGUGAUGGUGCAUUCUAAAAAUUCAAAACAUUCCACUUUUUGAAUGUUUUUGAUAUUUUGGGUAGUCCUAGGAGAGUUUCAUGCUUUCUUGAUAAAAAUCAGGAUGAAAAGUUCCUCUUUGUUAGUGCAGAGUGACAGAUGUACAUCCAAAGAAUUUCAGUAUCUCUGUGACUUAAAUAUUAAGUGGUCAUAGAAAAAAUACACUCUGAGAGGAGUAAAUUUUUUCUUAUUUGUUUUCCCAGCUGACAUGGGAGCUAGUUUGUUAUGUUAGAGCAUUUAUGCCAACAAGAUGCAGAACCUGAAUUAUCAGUAAUUUUUGGAAGCAAAAAUGGUGCCCAUCUAAUAUACACUUUCACAAUGUCUGCAGCACCACCUUUUCAUUUUCAACCUUUUCUUACUUGGCAACCAAAAAAAAAACCAAAAAAGCUUGAAUUGUAGUCUGAGAAGUGUGCUAUAAUUAUCUUUACAAUCUGCUCCAAUUACAUACUGUCUUACACUUGACAUCUACCAUUAGCAAUUUUGCACAAAUGGCAGUAAACAUAUGACAAUUACUGAUCUCACUGCUUACCUGCAUCAACUGAUUUCUGCUUUCUUUCUGGGAGUAGAAAGCUUUUGCAUUUCUGAGGCAGUAAUUUUACAUUUGAGAAAAUUCUGCUGUCAUCAUCACUUUCACCAUCACAAUCCAUGUAAGAAUGUAACUCAACUAAACCCAAAUUACUAGUCCUCAGUCUUAGCUCUUUAUCACCUUCCAGUCUGUGCACCUCAGUGCUGGCUCUGCUGGUUCUGGAUACUUGUUCCCUAAAAGAAAGCACGCAUUUUGGUCAGCCUCCAGCAAACCCAGUCCAACCUCAGGGAUGCCCUCUGGGCAGUCAAUCCUCAUUCCUCCCAGCUGUCCAGCAACCCUUGUUUCCUUCCAGCCAGGCUCUUCACCUGUGAGCAAUUGCCAUAGGCAAGCUAAUUUUUCUCUCUUUUUUGAGAAAAUUGUCUAACUUGAUCCUGUCUUGAUACUCCCACGUUUAUUUUUCUUUAUAAGGAGCCACUUCUUCCUUCUGACAUUACCACGAGGUUCUGACACAUGUCUUCAAUGUUUCUCUGUACUCAAGUUUGCAGUACCAGCUUCUGUAUGGGCUGAAGACCUGGAGAACUUUUGCAGAGAACUGUACUCAAGCUCCUUCACAGAAAUACUUGUUCUGGAAAAUCUGGCUUCCUAUUGUCUUUUAAAGCUUUACUCUGAAAAAAAAAUUCUCACUGGCCAUUUGCAAAAAAAAAAAAAAAAAUCCUGCCAGAAUUUAAAUGGGAAAUGUUUGUGGUUUACAUGGACAUUAAUGAAACAGGCUAGAAGUUUUCUCCCUUGUAUGGCAUUUCCUUAUUUGAUUCAUGAGUGCAAAACCCAGGAUUUUGCACUAACCUGGUUCUGCAGGCAAAGACUCCAACCACAUUCCCUCUUGCUAUUUAAGGUGCAUGAUUUAUCACUGCCUCAGGGAGGCACAGAAGAGGAAUUUCUUACUCAUGAAUUUAUGUCAAUUUUUUGUUAAAUAAUUGCAUGGAAGUCGUGUUCAGUUCUGGAAACAGGAUAAACCAGCAGUUAUUUUCAUUUCUGUGUGCUCUCUGCAAAGGUUUACGUCACUGAUUUAGUCCUCACCUUGCUUAGGCAGCUGAUUAAUGAAUUAUGGUUGAACUUGAUGAACUUAAAGGUCUUUUCUAAGCUAAAUGGCUCUGAUUCUAUUAAUUAAUAUGUAUUUCUCAAAUGAAAAACCAGGGCUGGGUGUCCCCAGUAUGUGAACAAAUGCACCCCAUGGUGAGGAGCCACAUUUGGCAGGAGAGGGGGACCAAACCCCUGGGCAGGACCAGGGCGGCAGACAGGACAUGGCUCACCACAGUCCUGAUUUUCAUUGUGCAUGGGUUUUUUUUUCUUUCCUUUCUAAGCUGAAAAGGUUAAUGUUUGACUAUUUAUUUGGCUGAGCCUCCUUAAAGGCAUGAGCUCAGUGGACCAUUUUAAUAACAGCAGACAGUGCUUCCUGCCCCCUCUUCUCCCUGGCCCUGGGAGCUAUUCUUACCAGGAAAUACGAAAGUCCACAAACACCACAUCACUGGCCCACAACCCCAUGUCAGCAGCUCAGAUUAAUCAUCUUGAUACUCUUUAACUUUUGGUGACAAGCUAUUACAUUUGUGUUUUAAAUAGUCCAGGAAAUUUGGGUCAGGAUUGACAGCUGGGAACUUCAGUUCCAAAGUUUAAUAUUAAUUCUUUCUUCAUCUUCUUAAUGCUUUUGAGUACAGACACCUGUCUGUUGGCUUCCAGAGGCAUUGGAGUUAACAGUGAAAUAAUUUAAUUUAAUUCUUUGGGGUUAUCAUCCCGAGAACAGGGUAACAUCUAGCUGUGUAGAAAGAUAAUUAUAUUUACUUACAUCAUCAGGUGUUGUGAGGACCACUUACUUAACAGCACUUGUGUGUUUCUCCAGGGAAUGCCAGGACUUCCACAGGUACCAUGGUAAUCUAACAUUAAACAUUUUUUUAGCAAUAUAAGGAAGCAAUUUUACUUAAGAACUGAGACAAUUUUUAUGCAUUAAAAUGUUUCCAGUGUUUCCUUCUGGUUUUAAGACUGUCCUUGAGAUUUUACAAAAAUGCCCUUUACCACAAUUAAGAGGGAUAGGUUUUCACUUUCUGGGAUUUAAAUCUUGCCUUUUGGAGAAAGAAGGAGAGCUUAGUAUUCUCCAAACAGGGCAGUUCUGCAUCACAAAAACAGGUUUAAAUCACACACUUUGAUCUUGCUUCAUUCUCUUUUCUUGCUCUAUUUCUACUGUGUCUCGGUCUGAUUUUUAGCUGAUCUGUUUACUGACCUUUAAAGCCUCUCCUACAUCACUUCAGAGGCAAGAGGAGGACCUUGCCUUGCCUUGCAGUGUUAUCAGAUAAAGUAUGAAGUGCUGAACCUCUGGAAGCAAGUGAGUACCUGACCUUGGCUUUGUCUGGGUACUAAUGAAGGGAAAAAAUAGAUGGGAUGAAAUUCAAACCUUUGUAUAUUUUUGGUACAAGCCUGUAUAUGAACAUCUUAAUUUUGAUGUGAGGCCUUAAGAUCACAAGGGAAUAGAUUACAGAUUGCUUCUAAGCAGUUUUACUUAAAAACUAUCCAAAUCACUUUUGUUUCAAAUUAAACAAAAGUUAUGUCAGUUAACUUGCAUCAGUUGGGAACAAAUCAAAAAAAGAUGAAGUAAAAGUGCCAUUAAUCCAAAGUCAGAAUGGUCACACCAGUUAAAUUGGUGUGACUGCCUGUAAUAGAGAAGACUUAGUAUCAUGAACUAUUGAAAUAAUUUAUUCAGAUGUAAUUCUGCCCAAAGGAUGAUUUCAAGCAAUAACUUCCUUUUCCUCAGCCUUCUUUGUACAGAAAGUUUGUUAAAUGCACUGAUGCUUUAUAAUUUUUUGUUAUUGUUAAGAAAAACUUCUUCCCAUUGAGUUAACUUGUGUCCUUGGUUUUCUUAUGUGCAGUUCCUCUGGAAAUAAAACUAAUAAAACAGUUUGUAUUGCAGGAAAGAAUUUGAUUCACAGUGUUUUCAAGAUUUCACCCCUCUCUGAGCUGUGAUGUUGAUUCAGGACGGUGUAACCACUCAUGGACAAAUUUUUUGUUGGAAGCUACUUGCACUUUAGUGGAAAGACACUUGCAUGGCUGUUCUGUCUCCAUCUCUGCUGUUUUCCAUUCCUUUAUCUCUGGCCACAUUUCAAUUACCUGUUCUGGAAAGAGACCCACCCACACUUAUCAGCAGUGGAAAUUUUCAAGGUGAUAUUUUAGAAGGGAGUAACUAAAUUCUGCAUAUAGCCCAUUAAUAUCAAUUAUGGGUGUUCAGAUCAAUACCAAUAGCAGUGAUAUUGUUUAGAAUCUUGAAUUAAUGUCAUUAUGCUGCCCACUCAGCUAUGGGCAUUUUCAGGCACAAUGCACUACUUGCAUUUUAUUAUAAUGUAUCUUUUCUGAAAACUCACAUCAUGGUGGGUACAUUGCCAUGUCACAAGGCACCAUUCAGAUGGAUGGUACAGAGUGCUGGGCUGACAGGGCACCCUGCAGUGGCACUCUUGUGACAAGGAGUGUCCUCAGGAUGGAUUUCUUGCUGUCAGAUCCCUCUCCCACUAGCCAGGUUUACCAGAACCUUUCAUGCACCAGCCUCCUCCUUGCUCUGUGCAGCUCCUGGCUUUUCUUACUGGUUUCUCUUGUGAAGCAAAGAGUGCCACCACCAGGGCGGGAAAAAUUAACAUGGCUCUGAGAUGCCUGGGGACCUCAGCCUCACCAGUCCUGUCUCAGCAAUCAAGAGUUGGCACUCUGUUAACUGGGUGCCCACAGGCAUGUUUUAAAUAACCUCAUCAGUCUGGAUAACUCUUAUUGGUUCCCCCUUCUCAAGUCUGCCAGAAUUAAAAGAAAAAAAGGAAAGAUUCUCAGGAGACUUUCCCCAGCAAAACCAGGAUUAUAUUAUUGGCACUUCCAUUACAUUGCUGAGCAGAUUAUGAAGAGUUUUGAGUGCACAAUGCAUGUGACCAUUCUUUCAACAGAGAUGAAGAACCAUAAAACACCUGCCCAGCACAUGGGCACACUCCUCACCAAGCCAUCAGAGCAAAUCUCUCAGCUGCCUAAGGUGAUGGGAAUGUAUCAUAUCUGCUAUCUGAUGGGCCAGGGAACAAAGGGUGGGCAAGUCCUGCACCAGGGCUCUGCAGACAAAGGCACAUGGAUCACAGGUGCAGCUCUGGCUCUGCCCUCAAGGCAAUGAGCUCCUUAAUGGACUUUGCAACAUUCAUGACAAGCAAUUAUGUCCAGGCCCAUGACAUUAAAUGCACAGACAUGGCAGCACAGAUCUUGGGGGCUGUCACAAAUUGACGCUAAAUGAAUUGUCCAGGAGCCUGGCUCGGUACAGCAGUUGCUUUCUUUGAAAACAACAGGGUGUUUUCUCCUCUGCAGCCUGGGUUAGAACAGCAAUGCAAUUGCUCUCUCUUAUGAGGAUUAAAUGACCCACUCAGUUACUUUGAGCCACUGAAAUUUAAAUGGGGACAUAAAAUCUGAGCAUUAGUCAGAUAUUUAGAGCCUAACCAAGGACUCUUUCUUUUGUCUCACCUCAUUCACUGUACCACCCUGCUGUCAAAAUGUAACUCUACUUAAAAUGAUGACAUGCCAGUACAUGUUUUGUAUAUAAAUUAUUAAAACAAAGUUGUUCAAGUUGCUCAAACAUAGGAAAGAGAGGCAGUGUCAGAGUUAUGAGUUUAAAAGCAAUAAGGCUGGUCUGUCCACUUUCCAACUUAAUUCCUAGAACAAAUUCACUUAACAUCCAUCACAAAUAAAUCUGAAUAGGAGACACAUGCUGGUACAACAUGUGACUCUCACAGCCAGCAAAAUGUGCCUCAGAAAGAGGCACCAUCUUUUUAAUGACUGGACAAUCCUACAAUCCUUUAAAGAAGUUUUAGUUAAGAUUUUAUUUUGUGGACUUAAAACCAAAUUAGAAGCUCAGAACUCCAAGUUGUAUUCCUCUUGCAAAUUACUUGAGGUCAUAAACCAAGAUUGAUAUUAAAAGAGGAGGUG